This 2453-nucleotide long non-coding RNA is filed under the name Gallus gallus (chicken). RNAcentral's name for it is "lncRNA (ENSGALG00010019852.1)". Lineage: Eukaryota; Metazoa; Chordata; Aves; Galliformes; Phasianidae. The record is from RNAcentral.
CGCUGACGGGCGGCCGCGGCGCGGUGCCCUUAUUGGUUUGAAAUUCCAUUAAAUAUAUUGCAAGAGCGCCUAGGUUAAGCUUGAUUUAAAUUUGCAUACAUUUUCAUACAUUUAGCAGAAAUAAAAGAAGGCUUGCAGCUACCAGAAAGUCAUUAAGGCAUUAGUUUCCCCGAGAAGACAGAUCUGAAGAAAAUUCAAGAAAAUGGGAAAAUUGAUAGAAAGAAGGUGGAGCUGAAUACAAUGUCUGCAUUUGUGGCUAACUCCAAGCAAUACAUUAUGAAGAUGAUGUUAUUCAGACACACACCCAAACAAUUUGAUUCAGACAAAUUGGAUAUGAGACUUUGACCAGCAUGAGAAGAACAGCAGCCUGCACGUGAAGCUGAGCAUCACUCUCCUGCCCCAUGCACAGAAUGUUGCAGAUGCCAACACCAAUGGGACGCAAAAUUCUGCCCACAGCACUCCCAUGUGUGCUGAUGAGACAAGAACUGACCAGGAAAGGUCUCAACCAGCUGGUAAAGUGUAUUCCUUCUGCUCCCGUCUACCAACAGCUGUGCUCCUGAGGUCCCCUUUUUUAGAAGCAAGUGAAGAGACCUCAGUAAGAACAGCAGUGUGAUAACAGUUGUGGGGUGAGCUGGGUUUUUCCUAUCAAACCAAAGUCUCUCUCUAACAAUGACAGAACCCCACAGGUCUUCUGGUGGGGAGCACAGCAUCCAAAAUCAUUGCAUGGGUAAAUGAAGACAGCUAAUGCUGUUUGCUGGUUUCAGCUUGAUGUAACCAAUUGCACUGGUCAAGUUAAGCUGCAUGACAGUGUGAAAUACUUAAAUAGCCAUUGUAGUGUUUCUGAGAGGACAGCUGGCUGCAGGUGCUCUGCAAGAUCACAGUGCAGCGUCAUGCUUUCAGAGCUCGCACAAUGGGCAGAGGCUCAGAAAUUUGGGUGGCAUGGAUGACACAGGUUCAGCAUGGCCAACCCCCCGCAGAGCUGCUUUCUGACUGCAGGGGAAGUCAUCUCCCGUGUCGCUUUUGAUUCAGGAGCUGUAUUUGGCCUCUGCGUGGGAGCAGAGCUAAAGGAGGAGCGCGGCAUUGCCUGCAGCAUUCGGCCUUCAGCAGAGCCCCGCGCCAGGCAACUCCUGCACAUCUGUGCUGACAGGGCCGUGACAGGAGGUCCCCAAACCAGCAGCCAUGCUUUCAUGCCUGUGCUGAAAGGAGAUGCACAGCAAGGCAGGCAGGAAGGCUGCACGAGGCAGUGCUGCUGUGCCUCCUGCCUGCACCGUGUCAGCCGGGCUGCGCCGUUCGCCCAUCUUUGCGGGAGCACAUCUGUGCAAUGGAAACCUGCGGGGUUUGCUGCACUCCUACUGACAGUUCAUAUUUUAAUCCUUUUUGUUUUCUCUUUAGGAAACAAUUCUCUGACCUUUUUUUGUGUGAAGUGCAAUGGCGAUAGAUAGCACUGUGCAGCGAGGAGUUCUGAAUGAUGGAAAUGCAGAGAUGUCUGCUGAGGUUUGCAUACUGCUGCCACCACGCAGAGGAGAUCUCAUACUGAAAGUGUGAUCACAGCUGAACCCCCAUAUGGAUUAUUUCAAUGGAAAGUCAAGAAAACAGCUAUUGAUUUCUCUUUCAUGAAUAUAAAGCAGAGAUCUUGUGUAAGAGAAGACAACGUUAAAAUAACCAAGCACCAGAAGGGGCUAAGGGAAAAGCCUGAGGUUAGAGCAGAAAGAAAUGCUUGUAUUCAAAGUUUAUAACCGUUUUGAAAUAAUAAAAACUGUGGUUAAACUAUUUACUUCAAUUAGCUUCAUGGUCAGGAAAACCACCAUCACUUAGAUCCCACUUAUAAAAAUGUGUUCUACACCAUUCUGAAACCCCAGAAGACAAUAAAAAACUGUGGGCUUUCUGAUGUUUGAGUGUGCUGGGAUUAGGUGCAAGUUGCUGGGCGUUCCUAGAAACACUAUUUCAGAACAUUUGAACACUCCAACUUUUGGAUCGGUCCGUGCAGUUGGGCUACGUGUGCGAUAGGGGUGCCUGGCUGUGAUGAGAUGGACUUGUGAUGCUGCUGCCUUCCCUGAGCUUCACCUCCUCCAGCUGAGCAUUGUGGCCCCGGCGAAGUCAACCAAGAGUUUGCCGUAGACUUAAUGGAGCCAGAAUUCCAUCCCAGGAGAGGAACAACUGAAGUAGAGUGCCACGGGCUGGUGGCCUGUAGCAAUCUCAGGUGAUGCAGGAGCGAAAAUGUCCUUGUCACGUAACUGAUGUCCUCAGCCCAAGGUUCCCUGAUUUCACUCUGGAUUUUCUGCUGCGUUUCUGUUCAUUGUUGUUGCAGCUCUGUGGAUAACGUGUUAAGGGGUUGUUCUUAAGAAAGAAAGAUUUAACUUUUUUAAAGGGACGGGUGAUUUGUAGAAGACGUUUGUGUAAUUUUGUAUUCUAAAUGUGAUUUAUUUUUAUAAAUAAAUUUGCAUAAAAUCUCC